GACGAACGCUGGCGGCGUGCUUAACACAUGCAAGUCGAACGGUGAAGCGCCUUCCUUUUUGGUGGGUGUGGAUGAGUGGCGAACGGGUGAGUAACACGUGAGUAACCUGCCCCCUUCUUCUGGAUAACCGCAUGAAAGUGUGGCUAAUACGGGAUAUUCUGGGUCUGUCGCAUGAUGGGUCUGGGAAAGAUCUUGUUUCGGUGGGGGAUGGGCUCGCGGCCUAUCAGCUUGUUGGUGGGGUGAUGGCCUACCAAGGCGGUGACGGGUAGCCGGCCUGAGAGGGUGGACGGUCACACGGGGACUGAGACACGGCCCAGACUCCUACGGGAGGCAGCAGUGGGGAAUAGUGCACAAUGGGCGCAAGCCUGAUGCAGCGACGCCGCGUGAGGGAUGGAGGCCUUCGGGUUGUGAACCUCUUUCGCCAGUGAAGCAGGCCUGCCUCGUUUGUGGGUGGGUUGACGGUAGCUGGAGAAGAAGCGCCGGCUAACUACGUG
This 494-nucleotide ribosomal RNA is filed under the name uncultured bacterium. RNAcentral describes it as "partial 16S ribosomal RNA". It matches the Rfam family "Bacterial small subunit ribosomal RNA", at positions 28 to 507 of the family's 1533-position model. The record is from RNAcentral.